ACCAUUAAUGAUGAUGAGGUUGUUGCUCAUAUGCUUAAUGGAUUAGAUUUUGAUUAUCAUCCGUUUGUGUCCUCUAUGAUGGGUCGUUCAGGAGAUCUCUCGCUCUCUGAACUUUAUUCCCUUCUGAUGGAAUAUGACC
Small nucleolar RNA from Sorghum bicolor (sorghum), 139 nucleotides. It matches the Rfam family "Small nucleolar RNA Z247". Rfam says of the family: Z247 is a member of the C/D class of snoRNA which contain the C (UGAUGA) and D (CUGA) box motifs. Most of the members of the box C/D family function in directing site-specific 2'-O-methylation of substrate RNAs. Lineage: Eukaryota; Viridiplantae; Streptophyta; Magnoliopsida; Poales; Poaceae. The record is from Rfam.